This is a non-coding RNA of Coturnix japonica (Japanese quail), 6520 nucleotides long. NCBI's taxonomy places the organism in Eukaryota, Metazoa, Chordata, Aves, Galliformes, Phasianidae. The record is from RefSeq and is a predicted model, not a curated record.
AGCAGGAUGCUCUGUGAGGCACUGGGGUAUCCUGGGGGACCCAGUGGUGUCAGUGGGGUGAGGAGAGAGGGCUGCUGAGCUGGAGAAGAGACAGAAGUGCAGGUAGGUUGGUCUGGGUUGCACAGGCAGCCAGUGCUGCAGGAGCAGCAUAGAGAGUAUUGCUGAUGCUGCAGGAGGUGUCUCAGUGGCUGUGAUAGAUACAGGUAGGUGACAGAUAUGGGUAGGGGAUGGAUACAGCCAGGUGAUACAAUCCGAUGCACUUAGGCUCAAAGCCAGCCUCCUCCAGGACAAUGUGCCCCUGCAGCCCUGAGCUCCCACUGAGCUGUGAAGUCACAGGUGCUGCCCACAAUGUGCUGGGUCCAGCUGUGCCCUUGGCCCAGAGCUCUGAGCACGGUGCUGCCUGUCACUGGACAUGAUGGAGCUGUCACACUUGGCAGCCCUGGCCACUAUCCUCAGCCGACUGCUCUCAUCAGACAUCUGCUGCUGCCAUGGAUGUGGAACAUGAUCUGCUCCCUGCCAGCCAUGUGUGCCACGGCCAGGAAAGGGCACUGGGGGAUUUGGCACGGUGCUGAGAUGUCCGGAGCACAGAUAGUGCUGCUCAGAGGAAACUCUUUUUGCUGAGCCCAGCACAAGGCUGCAGUGUCUGGUUACAGGGAAGUCGAGCACCCCCUGCUCGGACUCUGUCACCUCCCCAGAGGGAUGGGACGCAGAGCUCAGGGGUCCUUCCUGCUGGCUGCUUGCACCCGGAGCCACAGGGCUGCUGCAUUCCUUCUAUUUACCCUGCAAAAAUGGGACUGGGAGGGUUAAAACUCCCGAGGAGGGCUCCUGCUUCCCUCCACGUGGGCAGGGGCACAGGGUAGGGCUGAGCAGAGCAGCGUUGGACAGCAGCUUUCAGCACAAUGCAGCAGACUGCACAGCUUCAGCAGGGAGCAGCUCCAGCGGGGAUGCAGGGAUGCUCUGGCCCCCUCCCAAACCUCCUGGAGCAAGCAGAGCCCUCCUGCAAAAGAGGAGGUGGCGACGCCAGAGCAGGACUUCCCAUCAGCACCUUAUAUUUACUGCAAGGUCCUCUGGCUGCGACCUUUAGAAGACGAGGCGGCCUGGCAACCAGCUCUGCAGCAGCGUCCCGGCUGGAGCUGAUGGAGGUCCGGGCACACGGACUGCGGUUGAGUCCUGCCAGGAAAGCCAGAACCACGGCCACAGCGCUGCAGCACACGGUCACAGCCCAAACUCCAGUACGGCCCAGGACUUGGGCACUUUCUGCUGCUCUGUCUGUAGGGAGACACCAAGGCAGGGCUGGAACCCACCACAGGGACACCAGCACUGCUGCAGAACUGUGCUGGGCUGACGUGUAGAAACGUGUGGUUCUUGAAGAUGCUGCCGUGCUGAAACAGGCGGAUCUCACACGUGUACCUGCCACUGUCAUUCACCUGCACAUCCUGCAGCUGGAUGGAGCCAUCCCAGCACGAGACAUCUCCCUGCCACCGCACCCGGCCUUGGAAACGGCCCACGGGGACACUGGAGUUGCUGUAGUAAUAAAAUACCAUCUCCUCCUGUCCGGGCACAGAGCGGCUGGUGAGUGGAGCCCAGCAAGCAGGGCACUGUAGCCUCUCCCCACACACACACACACACACACAGUGCUCACCAUGCACAGAACCCAGCUUGCUCCAUCCUGCACUUGUGCCUCUGGAAAGCUCCACUGAAUGCCACAGCAUGGGGCACACAGCUGGGGAGCUCUCCUUCUGCAGUGCUCCAAGAGCAGCGGGGCUGCCUCCCUCUCCCUCCCAUUGCCCACUUUGGGUUCUGACCCACCUUCUGUUUGCCAGCCCUUGGCACACGCAGCCAGUCCACUUUGGUCACCGUCCAGCCCGUGGCCUCUGGAUCUUGGAAGAGGCAGUGCAGCAGGACAGAGUCCCCAGCGCUAGCAUGGAGCCAGGGCUCUGUGAACACCCAUCCAGCCAAGCUGCUGCUCCUCCCUGCCAGGCACAAGGAUAGCAGGAUGAGGAUGACCGAGCGCAGCCUGCCUGUCCCCAUAGAUGUCUCCUCUCUGGAUGAGCCUAAAGGCGCUGAGCAGUCCGGGAAGCAGUGGGGAGGCCCUGCAGACAAAGCCUCUCCCUGAGCCCUGCUUUCCGCAAUCCGGGGAUGCAAGGCAGUACAUCCUCCUGGGUGCCAGACACCGAGGGCUGCUGCAUUCACUGAACGAGCCGCAUGGAAGUAGAGUGGGGAAGACACCUUUGGAUUCAGUGCUCAGCCCUCUGCGUCUCAGGGCUGAAGGCUGCAGCUCCUGCACCGUGGCUCGUGUGAGUCACGGGCUGGGAGAACCAGUGGCACUCAUCUGCAGCAGGCCAGAGGCAACUCGGCCCCUGUGCAUCAGUCUCGGUUCCUCCUUUCACAACCUGCCCAUCUGGCUUCCUGGCUGCUUGCUCACAGGCUCCUGGCUGAGCUUGGACGUGUCCAACCACAUAACCACCUCUAUGGGUUUCUGGAGAAGUGGAGCAGCACAGAGCAAAGCCAAAACAAACGGGGACACAGCACACAGGGCAGGGCAGAAAACAGCCCCGGGGUUUUCUCAAGAGAAAGCCUCCAUCUUCUGUAAUCUAUAGGGUCAAAAUGGUAAAGAGAGACACCUGCUUGGCUGAAAGGCAGUGCAGAGCAGAGCCAUGGGAAGCAGCACAGCAGGGAAGCACUGCCAACUGCAAGGAACAGAGAGAAGCAUCAACAGAUCCUAACCAGGAGAACAGAGCCCAGCACUGCAUAUGAGGGCCGGGUGAGCUGAUUCAGAGGGAGCUGCUUGGGCAGGGACAUUUUUCCCAGCAUUAGAGCUGCCCUGCUCAGCCCUUCCACAACCACCAAGGGCUGGGCCCUGGCAAGGCACCAAGCACUCGUCUGAUGCCCUGUAAGUAAUGAAUGCAAAAUGCUACAGCUUCCCAAACAGGUUUCUUUUGGGCUUGACCAGCUGUGGAGGCAAACAUGAAGAGUAUGUCAGUCACGGAGACCAAGGAGGCCAGUUGCCUUAAGCGGAGCCAAAAAUCAAUAGCUUGGAAGGCUUACCCUGUGUUUAGAUGUGGUAAAGCUUCUCUACAUCUUCCAAAGCCUUGGAGCCUGGUACAGUAAGUACAGGCCUCCAACAGGAUGCUGUGACAAUUCCAAGCCUAUGCGUGUGCAGGAAGGGAACAAGCAGCUCACAGAUGCCAGAGGAGUUACUGGCACGCUCAACACUCCCAGCCUUGCGUGCCUGCAAGCCUCUGAGUGGUCCUUACAGCAGAAAAGAGGAAGCAAAGGGUCUUAGGCAAAAGCAAGGAUAAAGCCACCAGAAUGAUUUACAGCUUACCCAGUAACGUCAGCACCAGAGCCAGGCACAGCAGCACCUUCAUCUUCUCUCCAGGAGAGCAGCAGAGGUGGCACAUGCAGCACACCAAGUGCUUGCAGCUGCACCCCAAGGCCUGCAGAAGGCUCCAGUCCUUCAGGGAGGAAUGUGAUCUGGAUGUUUGGCUUCUCAAAGUUAGUCCUACCCCAGCUGGGAGCCUACAACUCAGUGAAGCACAGCUGUCACACGUGUCUGAUUUGAGACAGCUCUGAGCCCUGGGAAGGAAGAGUGAAAGAUGGGGGGUAGGGCUCAGCAUGAACAUCUUUGCAUUUCCCCUUAACCAAAGCAUCUUUCCGGUGGUUUGGGGGGUCGACUCCUUACCACCAGAAUUGAGACAUUCACAAAUAGUCACUGCUUAGAAAACAAUGGGGUGUUUUUUCUCCUGUAGAAGUUUGGAUACAGAUCCUAAAAUCAUAUUAUCCUAGAGAUAACCUCCUUGCUUCAGAACACCACGCACAUUGAAAGCUUGUGCUGGAGUCUUUAGGGUCUGAUCAGACAGCGCUGAGUCUGGUCACUGCACUGAUCACUGGCAUAUAGACAUGCCACAGCCCAAAGAAGAACUGACUGUCAUUGGCAGGGAUGUGCUCACACACAGAUCACAGGAGGCAAGCAGUACCAACUACCAGCAGUCAUUUUUCAAUACAGGCAUUUAUUUUCCUGCAGCAGUAAAAGCAACAAGAAAUGAAUCAUAGCUGAAGUCUCAUUAGCUACUCUCAUUUUUCCUCCGCUGUGAAAAUCAGAGGCCCUCUGGAUUAGCUUCAGCAAAGCCUGGAAUAGAUAAAGGAACCAGAGAUACACCGCAAGCAGCAGCCCUAAGAGAGGCGGGGAAUAUCUGACAUUGUGUCUAUGCUGUCAUCUCGUUCCAUCCAACACCACAGAGCAGCAAUCCACAGCUGUAGGGUCUAUUCUAGACUGUAAAGCAGUUCUAAAGGCUUUUCAUCCAGAGCACGGCCUCACUGCCUGAUGCAAAACCACUCUGCUUUUCCCUGCCCUCCCAUCCCAUCAGCAAAAUCCUGACAAUGGCAGCAAACCUUCAGUGACUCUCUCAAAUCUACCUCUCAAAAACCUAAAUCUGUUUGGGGGAUGGGUUUUGUGGAGGUGGAGGGGGGAGCUGUGGUUUGGGUACGUUCUCCUUUGCAUGUCUGCUAUGACAAUCUGCAGUGCAAACUCACGCUUGUGCGUGCAUGACCUAUAAACAGCAAAAUUCACACUCAGCUCCAAAGAUGCGUCGGUGCAGCACAUCUCAGCUCAGCAGGCCAAAGCAUCCUGCUGCCUCACCUUGUUUUAAUUCAGCUGUGCUGUCUGGAGCCCUCAAACACAGCUGGAGCUGCACCUUCUCAGGGCCACCCUCAUCCCAGAGUGAAAACAGGACCUAUAGCUUAUUGAAGGCUCUCAUCAUCACACAGAAGCCUGCACAGCAGAGUACCAGCUUGCAGAACUCCAGAAUCCCCCUUGCUGAGGCUCUGGUCCUUAAUUUACCACCAAGUUCUUCCUGCACUUCUUAACCUACUUCUGAAAACAUUUUCUGGUCCCACCUCGGGAUCCAUCUCUGCAGGGUCUCCUGUCACAGCAUGUGCCAGCAAGUGCUGAAGGCAGCACCCACUCAGCCAGGCUGUUAUAUCUCACAAUGCUGACACACCCAGCCCCUAUCAAAGCCUCCUAGAAUAAUUUUCUUCAAUCCAUAUGGAAAAGGCAAGAAAAAAAAUACGUGGAGACCACAUUGCCUUCACACCUCCCCGCUUUUGCACAUAGGAAUCUUUAUUUCAAGUACUUCUAUGUUUCGGUAAUUUCCAUUUCACAAAGGCAAAAAAAACCCCAAACAUUAAAAUAAGGAUUCAUAGCAAACAUAUAAACACUCACCCAGCAUGGUUUGGGGCAGCUGACUUUUUUGUCUUGCACGUAGAGCUCUUCAGUGACUGAUUUGGAGCCUCUGAAUUAAUCACACUAAAUCUUCCUGAGGUUGUGCAUGCGAGAUGUUUAGAACACAGCAGCUCUUUGUUUCGGGUCUCUUACUUAAGGUUGGGUUUGGUGACCACUCUUUGCUUCUAAGAGGAAGUUGUAAGAGGAAGAUGGAGGGUACUGACAAGUCAGAAGGGACCUGUUAUACAGACAGGCAAGAAGAAUUACAGAUGGAAAGGCAGCUUCAAAAGCCACUCUAGAUAAGAGAUAUGGCCAAGCCCUACAGCUCUUGUUUACAGCUCUCAAGCUCCACAGCAGCCUGAUCCAUUAGUCAUUAUGUAAGAUUUAGCCCUGUUACACUGUUUGCAAAGCAUUCACAGCCAAAAAUUGAACAUUCUGUGGAGAAACAAAAGUUAUUAAUUUCCAUAAAGAAGAGUGAUGCAUUCUAACUGAAAGUGGAACAACAAAGCCACUUCCUCCGAGCUGCAAAUCCCAACAUCCUUUCUCAGGAUCGUUUUUUGUUGGUAGAAACACUGAGCCAUCACAGAGCACCAUCUUUACUGAUGCUACUUUGCUGUAGAUGAGAGGAAAGAAAAUAGUCUGGAGAUACAGAUCUAUAGCUGACUUGCAUUGUAGUCAGAACUCCUACACAGCUCUGAUUUAUGGCCAUCACCAGGUUUCUGAUGGGAGUCUGGGUACACCUGUUCCCAGCAUCACAAUUCCUUUCAGCAAGCAACAAGUUAGGAUGGCAGCUUUAUGAAUCCAAUACAUUUACCAACACAAGGCCAAAUAAAGAUAUCCACAGCUUAGAAUGAAGCAUUGCAAUUUAUUGGUAACAGUGCAAAGUAGACAGUAAACAUAUCCCACAUACAUGGAAGGAGACCAUUCAACCAAUGCCAUAUACCAAAAUAAAGCAGAAAACAGCAGCUCUUCAGCUAUUAGAGAAGAAUUCCACUGCUCCCUGUAAUCCAUUAUUGAACAAGGCUGGCAAGAAGGUGCUCUCAAUCUUACAGGACAGCAAUGACAUGUUUCACUGUUUCCCAGAAAUUAACUGCUUCCCUGAAAGAGACGAGGAACACGAUUGUUCUUCUGAAGACAGAACGUCCCUUUGGACAAGGCUUUGAGUCAGUGGUUGAGGUAGAUGGGGUUGUGUUUCCCCAGACAUAGAGUCCCCAUUCGCAUUUCUGAUUUAUAAAAUAAGCUGUAUAUGAAUUGUGCUUAGUGUAAGUAAAAGAUGAGCCCAGUGAUGCAGUUGUU